Non-coding RNA from Lolium perenne, 1631 nucleotides. NCBI's taxonomy places the organism in Eukaryota, Viridiplantae, Streptophyta, Magnoliopsida, Poales, Poaceae. The record is from RefSeq and is a predicted model, not a curated record.
UGAUAUUCAUAGAUGUUUUAUGCAAUAUUUGAAUACUCUUGCAAGUUUUUUUUACGCUUCCUUUCAAGUUUUUGUGAGGAGUAAAUAAGGAAUCAAGCAUGGCAUCUAUUUUUGACUGUAAAGUAAAUGAUGAACCUAUUUCAUGAUAUUGAGGAGAAACAAAGCAUGUUCUCUUUUUCAUUUCUUUGUUGUCUUGAACUUAGUUGGUGAUACAGCUUGCAAGUGGAUGUGCUUCUCCAUUUGUUUGUUUACCCUGGACUCAAAAGAUUGUGUUAUUCCCAACCUUGUGUGGAUGUGGAUUUUAUCGUUCCUUCAUGCUCAUCGUACGUGAAUACCUUAUGGUUUCUCGUGCUAUCAGUUGUUUUAGGCCCACAUUUCUAUUUUAACUUUAUCAAUGUGAAACAGUGGGGAGAUAUUCAUUACUUUGGAUAAUAGUGUAAAUAAUUAAAAGAGGUGCUAUGUAAAAACAAUAAAAAAAGUUAUGGGGAUUGCUGGACACUUCUGUUGGUAACAUCGAUGUUGAUCUAAAAAUCAUCUUCCAUUAAAAAAUAUGAGGGAUGCUCUUGGCAUCGUGAAUGGACGCUUACGAAAAACAUUUUGAUUUUUUGUUAUCCUUUGAGGCAAAGUCCCAAUACUCGGUACCUAAACUUUAGCUGGUAUCUGAUGGUUGGUACUACUUUGGUUGAUUUUGCGUAUUCAAAAGAAAUUUGCCCAAGUUCAAAUUGUCCAGUCUAUUAUCCUCGUGGCUCUUUGGAGUUGUUUGGAAAUGAAAUAUUUGUCAAGUUUAUUUUGAAAGUAAAAUUAAUCGGGUCCACUGCUAUUUUAUCCUGACGGUUGACUUCAGAAGCUAGAUGAAGUUUUUCCUUCAUGAAAUUAUUUUUUUAGAUGAGUGAAAAAGAAAAAUGUGAUGUUCAUGCAAAUUCAUAACUUACAUUAUACUGUCAAAACCUCUUCUCCACUAUUCUUCUGGCGUGUGGUAGGAUCCCCAUCUCCCUCCAACUUAUGUUCUGUUAUCAUGUCUUCAUCACCAUAUGUGCAAAUUUUUAGCUUCUAACUAUUUCAUGUCCUCUGCUCAACUAUUCUUCUCCCCAUGUACAUCAAAUCUGUUUUUUCAACUUAUGUCAUACCUCUAAUCACGGUUGUAGUUUUUUGGGUGCUCUACUUAAUGCCCAUUCUCUACUCUUUGCCUCAGAGAUAAGGAGAUUGUGAUAGCUACAGCUGAAGAGGUACGAAGAGCUGCACAAAAACUUGAGCAACAAGGACAUGCUGAUUUCUAGAUCUGACAUCCUACUUAAGUAGCCGAGCAAGUGGUGUUGCAAGGGAAUCGGUGAUCAGGACUUUGCUAUGGUCUGCGGCUGCGUGCCUGAGAAAAGGCCAUGGCUCUGGUUAUUGUAUUAUUUUUGUUUUGUUAGCGUGCUAAUUGGCUUGAAAAGGACACAUCCCAUUUUUAUGACAUAAUCUCAUAUUCCUUUAGAUUCAAAAAUUAUAUCUAUGUUGUUUUAAAACUUAUGUAUGUAGCUCCCCUGUGCUUAUUAUAUGAUGCUACCUCUUUCUGUACAAUAAUCAUAAUUUGGUGGUGGAGCUUAUACAAAAGCAUAAAAGCUGAAAAAAUGGUGUGAAAUUAUACUAAA